RNAcentral lists this ribosomal RNA (218 nucleotides) under Candida albicans. Its description in RNAcentral is "partial contains small subunit ribosomal RNA, internal transcribed spacer 1, and 5.8S ribosomal RNA". The stretch from base 170 to 218 matches the Rfam family "5.8S ribosomal RNA", at positions 1 to 49 of the family's 154-position model. The record is from RNAcentral. Lineage: Eukaryota; Fungi; Ascomycota; Pichiomycetes; Serinales; Debaryomycetaceae.
UCCGUAGGUGAACCUGCGGAAGGAUCAUUACUGAUUUGCUUAAUUGCACCACAUGUGUUUUUCUUUGAAACAAACUUGCUUUGGCGGUGGGCCCAGCCUGCCGCCAGAGGUCUAAACUUACAACCAAUUUUUUAUCAACUUGUCACACCAGAUUAUUACUAAUAGUCAAAACUUUCAACAACGGAUCUCUUGGUUCUCGCAUCGAUGAAGAACGCAGC